This 974-nucleotide long non-coding RNA is filed under the name Anser brachyrhynchus (Pink-footed goose). RNAcentral's name for it is "lncRNA (ENSABRG00000012508.1)". The record is from RNAcentral. Lineage: Eukaryota; Metazoa; Chordata; Aves; Anseriformes; Anatidae.
UAUCUCUGUGUGAGUCGAUGCAGCCAGCUGCAGGCAUCUGGGUAAGCGCGUGCUCAAGUAUUUUAACGUGCGGAAGCCUUGGUUUAACAACAAAUGGGUGCUUCAUUGCAGAGUGCCUGCCCCGAGGAGCGCGAGGAGCAUGGGGAGAGAGGCGGCAGAGGGACAGCCAUCAAACUGCCUGGGGUUUGCUCAGCAAAGCAGCGUGUUUCAUUAAUCGGUUCCAGCACUAAUUGAAGGCCUGUGUGGUCAGCGGUCUGGUCCCCCAGCCCUCCUGCAGGUGCUGGUUGACUUCAAGCAAAUUAAAGAGAAUUUCAGGAUGUUUCCAGUCCCAUAAAACGGCAAUGACCAGAAAUGCUUCUGCUGAAAACCAGAAGAAUAUUAGCAAGGACUUCUGUAGCAUGGCUGGGCAGCUGCUGAGAGGAGGUAGCAGAUCAUGUGGCAGCGGCUCCAAGCCUUCCAGAAGCACCUGCAGGCUUUGGUCUGACGGGCACACAGCAGAGGAUGCAUGGCCAGGAGCCCCUCCGUGGCAAGAACUAAAAUAAGAGAAGACGUGUGACUGUAUCAAACAGAAAAUGAGUUUAUUAAAGGAAACGCAGGGAGCGAGGUACAGCUGGAUGUUUUGCCUCUGUGCAUAGAGCAUGAACGUGAUUCACCCGGCACAGUUCGGAUGAUGUACAGUGUCUGGCACUCCAGUCAGGGAAAUCCUGGCUGUUAGUUGCGUAGAAUAGCACCUAGAUGCUGCAGGGCAGGCUGGAGACCAUGGAGCUAUACAGGUAUAAAAAUAGCCCCUUCCCCAUGCAUGUUACAUGUAGCUAGGCAGAGGAGUGUCAUGUACUGCAGAUACUCCAGAGAGGAGAGCUGAGAUCUUCUGGAGCUUGAGAGACUUCAGAACUAAUUUAAUCGAUUGCUGGUAUGUAGUUACAAAUCUAAAAAAAGGAAAUAAAUGCUAGUAGAUCUGCGGAGGGUCUAGAGUG